Long non-coding RNA from Panthera uncia (snow leopard), 1040 nucleotides. RefSeq lists it as uncharacterized. NCBI's taxonomy places the organism in Eukaryota, Metazoa, Chordata, Mammalia, Carnivora, Felidae. The transcript has 6 exons. The record is from RefSeq and is a predicted model, not a curated record.
CAAUGAGGUUGCCAGUUGACACCUUUGUGAUGUCAGCAGCCUCAGGAGACUGCCUGGCUGAGGGAGGGAGAGUCCCGCCUCUCCUUCUGGGUGGUGUGGGGGUGUUUUGUGUAUCUCGGCAAGGAAGCUGAAUAGAAAAACAACUUUCCUAAGCUCAAAGAAUGAAUGGCAAGGCCAGCAACCGUUGACUCGUCGAUGCCUGAGGUGACCCAUAUUUCUGUAAUGAGGAAUUCCUUCCAAGGCCAUCUGCAACAUGCUGUAUCCAUUGGGCAGACCACUGGGCAUUUCAUACUUUAUCAAAGCCCCAGAAGGGGCAGAACCACUAUCGUGGAAAUCUCUCCAUAAUCCAGGUAUUUACACUUUCAGUAACCUGCGUAUGGAUCCCACUGCUAUUUAAUUAAGACUUAAACCUAUAAAGAUGCACAUUUAAUACUCAGAGUAAACCCUUGACUUGUUCCCUUUGAAGAUAAACAGAGAGCGAGAGUGAGUGAGGGAGGGGCAAAGGGAGAGGAAGAGAGAAUCUCAAGCAGGAUCCACACCUGGUGCAAAGCCUGAUGCAGGGCUCAAUCCCAGGACCCCAGGAUCACGACUUGAGCCGAAAUCGAGAGUAGGAUGCUCAACCGACUGAACCACCCAGACAAGAAGAGAGAUCUCUUAUUUCUCAUCGGAGGGAGAUACAAAAGAAGGUUGCUGGCAGAUAGAGCCAAUUCUUAACCACUGAGAGGAGAGGCUAGCUGAAGACCUAACAUCCUAAGGAAGGCUCUCCAGAUACAGGCACUCUGCCUCCUGCCUUCUAGGUUAGAGGAAAAAAAGAUCCUUCGGCUGCUAAGGUGAAGAUAGCAUUUAGGAUGCAGAAAUGGGACUUGGAAGUACUCCUGAUUCCUUUUAGGGAAGAAAAGGUCCAUCUAGGCUUACCUCAUUGCUAAGAAGAAUAAUAAGCAUUUGUUCAGCGAUAAUAAUGUGUGAGGUGCCUGAAAGAGCCCUGAAUCAGGCUAAAUAAUUUCUUCCUUCCUUUAGAAAAUAAAAAACAGCUUGCCCGA